This 64-nucleotide transfer RNA is filed under the name Euplatypus parallelus. RNAcentral describes it as "tRNA-Glu". The record is from RNAcentral. RNAcentral also lists the same sequence under 2 other names. Lineage: Eukaryota; Metazoa; Arthropoda; Insecta; Coleoptera; Curculionidae.
UUUUUUAUAGUUUAAAUAAAAACAUUACAUUUUCAAUGUAAAAUUAGAUUAUAUCUUAAAAAUA